RNAcentral lists this ribosomal RNA (497 nucleotides) under uncultured bacterium. Its description in RNAcentral is "partial 16S ribosomal RNA". It matches the Rfam family "Bacterial small subunit ribosomal RNA", at positions 28 to 507 of the family's 1533-position model. The record is from RNAcentral.
GAUGAACGCUGGCGGCGUGCCUAAUACAUGCAAGUCGAGCGAACGGACGAGAAGCUUGCUUCUCUGAUGUUAGCGGCGGGCGGGUGAGUAACACGUGGAUAACCUACCUAUAAGACUGGGAUAACUUCGGGAAACCGGAGCUAAUACCGGAUAAUAUUUUGAACCGCAUGGUUCAAAAGUGAAAGACGGUCUUGCUGUCACUUAUAGAUGGAUCCGCGUUGCAUUAGCUAGUUGGUAAGGUAACGGCUUACCAAGGCAACGAUGCAUAGCCGACCUGAGAGGGUGAUCGGCCACACUGGAACUGAGACACGGUCCAGACUCCUACGGGAGGCAGCAGUAGGGAAUCUUCCGCAAUGGGCGAAAGCCUGACGGAGCAACGCCGCGUGAGUGAUGAAGGUCUUCGGAUCGUAAAACUCUGUUAUUAGGGAAGAACAUAUGUGUAAGUAACUGUGCACAUCUUGACGGUACCUAAUCAGAAAGCCACGGCUAACUACGUG